UGGUGGUGUUGCCGGGAGCGGAAGAUAUCAUCCCUAUGGAAGGUAGAGAAUGGAGGAGUGGUGAAAAUGAAGGUAUUGUGGAUAAUUUUCUCAUGAGAGAGAGAUGGUAUUCUCAGUGAACAAGGAAUCCUGUAAUUCAAAUUGAUAAUUUACACCUUUUUAUUCUUGUAAACUGUACUUAAUCUGAAGAUAACAAACUAUACCAAUUCCAUGCGCCCAAUCUGCAAAAACAAUUUUAGAAAAAUUCACUUAGCAUUCAAACAUAUUCUUCAGUAUAUUGAGAGAAUUUGUUGUUUGGUUUUCUGGAUGAGGGUCCAUAAUUUGUGAUAUUGUGUUCAUUAUCUGUGAUUAUUUUCCACUAGUCUGCAUUUGUGCUGUUGGUUGGAUUUCUUCUCUUAAAAUGUAUUUGAAAUCAAAUAUUUGAAUUAAGCUUUGCGAUUCUUCCACCAUUCUCCAUUUUGCCACAGACCAGUUACACCUAUGGUUAUGUAGUAUAUUUAGAUUCUGCGUAGAAGGAAAGGAACAUCA
RNAcentral lists this long non-coding RNA (528 nucleotides) under Olea europaea (common olive). Its description in RNAcentral is "long non-coding RNA (OEUR_LNC014092)". The record is from RNAcentral. Lineage: Eukaryota; Viridiplantae; Streptophyta; Magnoliopsida; Lamiales; Oleaceae.